UUAAAGUUGAUGACAAUGUUGAUCUGCAACUUGAUGAUUUGAUUCAACUUAUACAAAGCCGCCAUGGUCAGGAUAGUGCUUAUAUUGGUUGCAUGAAGUCUGGGGAAGUAGUAGCUGAAGAGGGAAUGCAAUGGUAUGAGCCUGAAUGGUGGAAAUUUGGUGAUCAGAAAUCGUAUUUCCGUCAUGCAGCUGGUUCUAUCUUCAUACUCUCAAAAAAUUUAGCUAAGUACAUACAUAUCAAUAGUGCAUCCUUGAAGGUUUAUGCUCACGAGGAUGUAUCCGUGGGGUCAUGGAUGAUGCGUCUUCGCGCAACGUAACCUAUAUAGAUGACAGCCGUAUGUGCUGUAGUUACUCAAGCCAAGACAAGAUCUGCUCGUUGGCUUGAAGUUACAGUGAGACGAGCCUUUGCAGCAGCGCUACUGUUGGGAUACAUUUUGUGCAGAGAAACAGAGGAACUCAUGGAUCUUUAGUUAGUACCAUUCUUAUUUUUUGUUAGCUGCCGCAGCUGCCAAGAAUGUCGGUUU
Molecule: long non-coding RNA, 524 nt
Organism: Salvia miltiorrhiza (redroot sage)
Lineage: Eukaryota; Viridiplantae; Streptophyta; Magnoliopsida; Lamiales; Lamiaceae
Exons: 6
Source: RefSeq, a predicted model, not a curated record